GAUAAACGCUGGCGGCGCACAUAAGACAUGCAAGUCGAACGGACUUAACCAUUAGUUUACUAUUGGAGCGGUUAGUGGCGGACUGGUGAGUAACACGUAAGCAACCUGCCUAUCAGAGGGAACAACAGUUAGAAAUGACUGCUAAUACCGCAUAUGCCUAAGUACCACAUGGUACAAUAGGGAAAGGAGCAAUCCGCUGAUAGAUGGGCUUGCGUCUGAUUAGAUAGUUGGUGGGGUAAAGGCCUACCAAGUCGACGAUCAGUAGCCGGACUGAGAGGUUGAACGGCCACAUUGGGACUGAGAUACGGCCCAGACUCCUACGGGAGGCAGCAGUCGGGAAUAUUGCGCAAUGGAGGAAACUCUGACGCAGUGACGCCGCGUGCAGGAAGAAGGUUUUCGGAUUGUAAACUGCUUUAGACAGGGAAGAAACAAGACAGUACCUGUAGAAUAAGCUCCGGCUAACUACGUG
Molecule: ribosomal RNA, 469 nt
Filed under: uncultured bacterium
Lineage: Bacteria
Description: bacterial SSU rRNA
Rfam family: Bacterial small subunit ribosomal RNA
Source: RNAcentral